GAUGAACGCUGGCGGCAUGCCUAAUACAUGCAAGUCGAACGAAGGACUUCUAAGAAGCUUGCUUCAAGGAAGGACUUAGUGGCGAACGGGUGAGUAACACGUAGGUAACCUGCCCAUGUACCCGGGAUAACAAAGGGAAACGUUUGCUAAAACCGGAUGAAUAAAUAGGAGGCAUCUUCUAAUUAUAAAAGCACCUAUGAGUGUGGACAUGGAUGGACCUGCGGCGUAUUAGCCAGUUGGCGGGGUAACGGCCCACCAAAGCGAUGAUACGUAGCCGGCCUGAGAGGGUAAACGGCCACACUGGGACUGAGACACGGCCCAGACUCCUACGGGAGGCAGCAGUAGGGAAUUUUCGUCAAUGGGGGGAACCCUGAACGAGCAAUGCCGCGUGAGUGAAGAAGGCCUUCGGGUCGUAAAGCUCUGUUGUAAGAGAAAAACGGUCAUUAUAGGGAAUGAUAAUGAAGUGAUGGUAUCUUACCAGAAAGCCACGGCUAACUACGUGCCAGCAGCCGCGGUAAUACGUAGGUGGCAAGCGUUAUCCGGAAUGAUUGGGCGUAAAGGGUGCGCAGGCGGUCCAGAAAGUCUGUAGUAAAAGGCAUUGGCUCAACCAAUGUAUGCUGUGGAAACUGAUGGACUAGAGUGCAGGAGAGGGCAGUGGAAUUCCAUGUGUAGCGGUAAAAUGCGUAGAUAUAUGGAGGAACACCGGUGGCGAAGGCGGCUGCCUGGCCUGUAACUGACGCUGAGGCACGAAAGCGUGGGGAGCAAAUAGGAUUAGAUACCCUAGUAGUCCACGCUGUAAACGAUGAGAACUAAGUGUUGGAGAAAGACUUCAGUGCUGCAGUUAACGCAAUAAGUUCUCCGCCUGGGGAGUAUGCACGCAAGUGUGAAACUCAAAGGAAUUGACGGGGGCCCGCACAAGCGGUGGAGUAUGUGGUUUAAUUCGAAGCAACGCGAAGAACCUUACCAGGUCUUGACAUGGCGCUAAAGGCCCUAGAGAUAAGGAGAUAGGCAUAGCGCACACAGGUGGUGCAUGGUUGUCGUCAGCUCGUGUCGUGAGAUGUUGGGUUAAGUCCCGCAACGAGCGCAACCCUUAUCGCAUGUUACCAACAGUAAGAUGGGGACUCAUGUGAGACUGCCGGUGACAAACCGGAGGAAGGCGGGGAUGACGUCAAAUCAUCAUGCCCCUUAUGGCCUGGGCGACACACGUACUACAAUGGCGACUACAGAGAGAAGCGAGACUGAGAAGUUAAGCGGAACCCAAAAAAGUCGUCCCAGUUCGGAUUGAAGUCUGCAACUCGACUUCAUGAAGCCGGAAUCGCUAGUAAUCGCGGAUCAGCAUGCCGCGGUGAAUACGUUCUCGGGCCUAAUACACACCGCCCGUCAAACCAUGGGAGUCGGUAAUGCCCGAAGCCGGUGGCACAACC
Molecule: ribosomal RNA, 1424 nt
Filed under: uncultured bacterium
Lineage: Bacteria
Description: 16S ribosomal RNA
Rfam family: Bacterial small subunit ribosomal RNA
Source: RNAcentral